Glycine soja is the source of this 2507-nucleotide RNA transcript. It is a transcript of the gene named phosphatidylinositol/phosphatidylcholine transfer protein SFH9-like, with no coding region annotated. NCBI's taxonomy places the organism in Eukaryota, Viridiplantae, Streptophyta, Magnoliopsida, Fabales, Fabaceae. The record is from RefSeq and is a predicted model, not a curated record. The transcript has 15 exons.
GGCACUACCAGAAUUCCACCAACAAACAAACCAAACAGCCGCCGUUAGCGCGUUGCAGCAGAUCAGAAGCGGCCGUUGCACGCCACUCCUAACGCUUUUGAUAACGACGUUUGUUCCUACUUCCUACGUUCCCUUCUCUCUCUGCGUGUCUCUGUCUCUGUCUGCGGCUCCGUACGGGUUUCGGUACGUUCCAUUUUUUCGAUCUCACACAGAAAGCGAUACCCACUUUGCCUUUUUCCUCUCUCACUCUCCUCAUCUGCAUCGUUGUUAUUUAUCGUUGAACCGACGUCGUUUUGAUUCGGGAGAAGAAGUAUUAGCUCAAGAAGAUGAGAGGGGUAGAUGUUUUGAGCCUGAAACCUCUGAGGAUGAGUGGCGGAAGUCUCGAGCUAGAUCUCUUAGGAGAAAAGCAAUGACUGCUUCAACCAGACUCGCUUAUAGUCUCAGGAAGCGUAAUACACGUGUAGCAAAUAGUGACUUUGCUUCAAUUUUCAUAGAAGAUGUCCGCGAUGCUAACGAGGAAAAAGCUGUGAAUUCAUUUCGUCAGGUGCUACUUACAAGAGAUCUGCUUCCAGAUUCCCAUGAUGAUUAUCAUGAAAUGCUGAGGUUUCUGAAAGCCAGAAAGUUCGACAUUGAUAAAACAGUCCAGAUGUGGGCAGAUAUGUUGCAUUGGAGGAAGGAGUAUGGAGUAGAUUCUAUUUUACAGGAAUUUGUAUAUAAGGAGUAUGAAGAGGUACAGUGUUAUUAUCCUCAUGGCUACCAUGGUGUGGACAAAGAGGGCCAACCGGUUUAUAUUGAAAGACUUGGCAAAGUUGAACCCAGCAAGUUGAUGAGUGUCACGACAGUUGAUCGAUUUUUAAAAUAUCAUGUUCAGGGAUUUGAGAAAAUGUUUAAAGAGAAAUUCCCAGCAUGUUCUAUUGCAGCAAAGAGGCAUAUAGAUAAAACAACAACAAUACUUGAUGUGCAUGGAGUGAAUUGGGUCAGCUUUAGCAAAGUUGCACAUGAUCUUGUUAUGCGUAUGCAAAAAAUUGAUGGUGAUAACUACCCUGAGACAUUAAACCAAAUGUUCAUUGUUAAUGCUGGUAGUGGGUUCAAGCUACUAUGGAAUACUGCAAAAGGUUUUCUUGAUCCAAUGACCACAGCCAAAAUACAUGUUUUAGGCAACAAGUUUCAGAGCAGACUGUUACAGAUUAUAGACUCAAGCCAACUUCCAGAUUUCCUCGGCGGCAGUUGUUCGUGCCCAAAUGAUGGAGGGUGUCUUAGAUCUGAUAAGGGACCUUGGAAUGAUCCUGACAUUUUGAAACUAUUGCAUUCUAGAGAAGCAAUGAAGCUAACAAAGUUUGGAAGUUCUUCUGUUGCUGAUGGGGUUGAUGUGAAGUCAUAUGCCAGCAAGGUUAAAAGCACUGGAAUAUCUGAACCUCUAUCAGCGUCAGAAGUAAGAUUGAAUCCUUCAGCCUUCGUACAAUCUGUUCCUUCAAGUGAAAAAAAAAGGAUGAGAGACUCUGCACCUACCGGCAAUGUACUUGAGCCUUUAAAUGCUGCCAGAGAAGUUGUUGGGGAUGUUGAUUCAAUAAGUGAUUCAAACAACAAUCAUCUCAGAAGACUACAGGAGAAGCCAAUUCCAUAUAUCAUAAGUAUUUUGGCUCAAAUCGCAGUCAAAUUGUUAACUUGUAUUUAUGUAGUAUUUGCGGCAUUGGGGAAAUGUUUUGUGGUUCGCUCUGUAGACAACCAACCAAGAAGCCAUGAGAAAACCAAAUCGGCUCAAUCCAAUUCCGAGGAACAAUUAAUGACUCCGGCGAUAAAAGAGCCACUUUGGCAAAGAAUUCAGAAUUUAGAGGCAGUGGUAACUGAGAUGGCUAAUAAACCUAAUACAAUUCCUCCUGAAAAAGAGGAUAUUCUUCAAGAGUCAUUGAGUCGCAUAAAAUGUAUAGAAUAUGACUUGCAAAAAACAAAGAAGGCCCUGCUAGCCACUGCUUCAAAGCAAGUUGAGCUUGCCGAGUCAUUGGAAAGCUUAAAGGAGAGUAAAUUUGACGGAAGAAAUUCAUGUUGGCCUAAAAAUAGAAGUUAUGCCCCAGGAAGAUGAGCCCGUUUUUCAGCAUCAGUUUGCAGUCCAUUGUUUUUUAUACUUUACAGCUGAAUCACUACCAGAGCUAAACUUCUAUUGGCUUAUAUAAAAGAAUUACUCUCAUUAUCAUAUAGGCUUGAGGAAUGUGGGCUAUGGGGAGUGCAUAGCCCCAAUGUAUAGAAGGCAACAAGAAUUUUUUAUGAAGAUUCUGGACUCCAAAUACUCCUUUUAAAUGUAUAACUGAGUGUGUUAACCACAUUUAUUUUCUUAUUGGCUUUUCUGUACAGAGGACAUAUACACAAAGUAUGCUACUCAAAUUCAGAUGUAUUUUAAUACCAGAUGCAUAUAUGCACAAAAGAAAUAUUUUCUGUAAUACAUUGUAACAAAUAGCGAGCGCUUAACUGUAAAUCUUGGAUUUUACUAGAGGAUGUGCUUUCCCCGGAAA